Molecule: long non-coding RNA, 445 nt
Filed under: Carica papaya (papaya)
Lineage: Eukaryota; Viridiplantae; Streptophyta; Magnoliopsida; Brassicales; Caricaceae
Description: long non-coding RNA (CPAP_LNC011536)
Source: RNAcentral
AAAUGGUGAAGUGGGGGUCCUUUAUUCAUAAAAAAAUGGGGAUCAUUAGAUUUGUGCCAAGUGGAAAAAUCUAGUAAAAAGAGAGAAAGUCAAUGUGAAAUGAUGAGAUGUGAUGACCGACGGAUGUGACCGACGGAUGGAUGACGCGUGUGACAACAGCACGAAAAUAGGAGGUACACUACUCGAAUGACAGCGACACGUUGCUCAAGCGACGGUGGUACACUGCCUAAGUUGGCAGCGACUUGCCGCCUAACUGGUGUCGCGUGUUGCCUGAAGACGGCGCACGAUGCCUAAGGGGCAGCGCACACUACUCGAGGCAACACACGUUGCCCCAACUUGCCACACGUCAUAGGCUUAGUUUGCCACGUGCGCAGGCUUACUGUGCACAGGCCUACCGCGAGCAGGCCUAUUGCGUGCAGGCCUAUUACGCGGACGGCGUGCGUAU